UUUGUUUUUUUUUUCCGUUAGAAAAGAAAAGUGUCUGGGGGGCUCAAGUUUGAGUUGAAACCAGGCUCAGGGUCCACCUGUCCUCGCUGAUCCGUGGAUUUCUGUGUGACCAGCUGACACCUAUGGAGCUGUGGCCCUGACUACUACCAGCUUGCUCAUCCCUCUACUCACACAGUCACCCCUCCCCUCACUCUCAUUUAUGCUUCACCUGUGAAUGGUGGUCCUGGGACAGCCACUGCUGGAGCCCGGAUGAGCCUGGGGGCUCCUCCCACUCUGUCCCUCCCUGAGACAGCCCUCGCCACAGCUCCCGAGCCGGCCACCACGUCCCUGCAUACUUGAUCAUCAACUGUGCCACCAGAAGCCACCACAGGUGUCUGGGGGCCCCUUUUCCUUCCCAAGAGAAGCUCUCCAGCCCCACACCUCCACCAGCCAGUUGUGAUCCAGGA
Long non-coding RNA from Diceros bicornis minor, 446 nucleotides. RefSeq lists it as uncharacterized. The record is from RefSeq and is a predicted model, not a curated record. NCBI's taxonomy places the organism in Eukaryota, Metazoa, Chordata, Mammalia, Perissodactyla, Rhinocerotidae. The transcript has 3 exons.